UGUGUUUAAUUUAAUAAAUUAUUUGAAAAUUAUUUUUCCUUUAGUAAUAUAUUGAAAAAGAUAGCUUAAAGUACUGUGAAGGAAAUAAUAACACAAGAUUAGAAAGUUUUAACAACUGUACCUUUUGUAUCAGGGAUUUAUAAUAAAGUUUUAUAUUAAAUACUCCCGAAAUAAAUUGAGCUAAUAUUAAAAAAUUUUAAAUGUAACAUAAUAAUAAUAAUUUAAUAUUAGAGAUGAAAUGUCAUUCGAAAUUUAUGAUAUCUGGUUCUUAAAAAUAGAUUUUAUAUCAUUUAUUAAAAUAAUAAAAUAAAUUAUUUAGGAUAACCUUAAUAAUAUAUUUACAUAAUUUAAAAUAAUCUGUAAAAGGAAUAAAAGUUUCCUUAAGUUUUAUAACUAAACAUUUUUAAUAAAUUUUUAGAAAAUAUAAGGAACAAAAUAAACAUUAUAUUUAAUUUAUAAUGUAAAUAUUAGUAGAAUUUAAAUAUUAAUAAAUAAUUAAGAUAUAAUUUAACUAAGUAAUUUUAAAUUAUCAUUAGGAAUUAACCCCCAUUUAGCCUGUUUACCAAAAACAUGGUUUUUAGAAAUGAUUAAAAAUCGAACCUGCUCAAUGUUAAAUAAAUAGCCGCGGUAUUAUGACCGUGCAAAGGUAGCAUAAUCACUUGUCUUUUAAUUUAGGACUGGAAUGAAUGGUUUGACUAAAUGUUUUUGUCUUAUGAUUAUAUUUUGAAUUUUAUAUUUUAGUAAAAAAGCUAAAAUUAUAUUUAAAGACGAGAAGACCCUAUCAAGCUUUACAAUCUAAUUUUUAUUUUCAAACUAAAAAGAAAUUGUUUUACUGGGGCAGUAAAUAAAAACUUUUUAUUUAAAUAUUGUGAUUUAUAGAUCUAGUAAAAUCAAGAAAUUUUUAAUAAAAAAUAAGUUACUGUAGGGAUAACAGCAUAAUUUUUUUGAAGAGUUCUUAUCAUUAAAAAAGUUUGUGACCUCGAUGUUGGAUUAAGAUACCUAAUUUGUGCAGCAAUAAAAUAAGGAAGUCUGUUCGACUUUUAAACUCUUCCAUGAUCUGAGUUCAAACCGGUGUAAGCCAGGUUGGUUUCUAUCUUAAAUAUUAUUUAUGUUUCAUUUUAGUACGAAAGGACCAAUUGAGAAAGAUAAUCUUGCUAAAUUAUAAUUAUUUAAAAAUU
RNAcentral lists this ribosomal RNA (1178 nucleotides) under Uroctonus mordax (western forest scorpion). Its description in RNAcentral is "16S ribosomal RNA". The stretch from base 761 to 1100 matches the Rfam family "Archaeal large subunit ribosomal RNA", at positions 2150 to 2716 of the family's 2987-position model. Lineage: Eukaryota; Metazoa; Arthropoda; Arachnida; Scorpiones; Chactidae. The record is from RNAcentral.